UACGGGGGGGGCAAGCGUUGUUCGGAAUUACUGGGCGUAAAGGGUUCGUAGGUGGCCCGCUAAGUCACACGUGAAAUCCCUCAGCUCAACUGGGGAACUGCGUGUGAGACUGGCAGGCUCGAGUGCAGGAGAGGAACGCGGAAUUCCAGGUGUAGCGGUGAAAUGCGUAGAUAUCUGGAGGAACACCGGUGGCGAAGGCGGCGUUCUGGACUGUAUCUGACACUGAGGAACGAAAGCCAGGGGAGCAAACGGG
This 253-nucleotide ribosomal RNA is filed under the name uncultured bacterium. RNAcentral describes it as "partial 16S ribosomal RNA". It matches the Rfam family "Bacterial small subunit ribosomal RNA", at positions 524 to 776 of the family's 1533-position model. The record is from RNAcentral.